Molecule: ribosomal RNA, 52 nt
Filed under: Ailuropoda melanoleuca (giant panda)
Lineage: Eukaryota; Metazoa; Chordata; Mammalia; Carnivora; Ursidae
Source: RNAcentral
GUCUGAUCUCCGAAGCUAAGCAGGGUUGGGCCCGGUUAGUACCUGGAGGGGA